Molecule: long non-coding RNA, 550 nt
Filed under: Ananas comosus (pineapple)
Lineage: Eukaryota; Viridiplantae; Streptophyta; Magnoliopsida; Poales; Bromeliaceae
Description: long non-coding RNA (ACOM_LNC035451)
Source: RNAcentral
AGAGAAGAGAGGAUAGAUGACGGUUAGGGUUUUCUAAAAACUCCCGUAUAUUAUAUAUAGGAAUAUAAUCCUAUUCCUAAUAAUAUAAUGACAAUUAAGGAUAAGUAUAAAUCUAGAUUAAAUUUAUCCUUUCCUUAAUUGGUUAGAUCGAUCAAAUCCUAAUUUGAUUCGAUCUUUAUAUUAAUUUGAUCAUAUCAAAUUAAUAAUGCAACAUUUGCACAUAAGUCCUCUUAUAAUUUACUAACUAUUAGUAAGUCCUCUCUUGUAACAUUUACACCUUAAUACCACUAAUUUGUAACAAUUACAAAUUAGUCCAAUUAUUAUUAUAUUGACAAUUAGGUCCUCCGGCGAUUCAAUAAUCGCGAUCUAGCUAUCCGAUCAAUCACAACCUCUUAUGUGUGUGACCCCAUAGGUUCUAUUCUAUCUGGUAGUGAGAUAUAUUUUGAUCACUAUCAACAAUAUCACUGAAACUUCUUUCAGUGGAUCGAAACAAUUCCAACUCAGCCCAAUGAGAAUUAUCGAUCAUCUAGAUAAUUCUCAUGAGUCUCAC